Molecule: ribosomal RNA, 467 nt
Filed under: uncultured bacterium
Lineage: Bacteria
Description: partial 16S ribosomal RNA
Rfam family: Bacterial small subunit ribosomal RNA
Source: RNAcentral
GACGAACGCUGGCGGCGUGCUUAACACAUGCAAGUCGAACGGAAAGGCCCUGCUUUUGUGGGGUGCUCGAGUGGCGAACGGGUGAGUAACACGUGAGUAACCUGCCCUUGACUUUGGGAUAACUUCAGGAAACUGGGGCUAAUACCGGAUAGGAGCUCCUGCUGCAUGUGGGGGUUGGAAAGUUUCGGCGGUUGGGGAUGGACUCGCGGCUUAUCAGCUUGUUGGUGGGGUAGUGGCUUACCAAGGCUUUGACGGGUAGCCGGCCUGAGAGGGUGACCGGCCACAUUGGGACUGAGAUACGGCCCAGACUCCUACGGGAGGCAGCAGUGGGGAAUAUUGCACAAUGGGCGGAAGCCUGAUGCAGCAACGCCGCGUGCGGGAUGACGGCCUUCGGGUUGUAAACCGCUUUCGCCUGUGACGAAGCGUGAGUGACGGUAAUGGGUAAAGAAGCACCGGCUAACUACGCG